GGGGCAGUAGCUCAAUGGUAGAGCGCAGGUCUGAAGAACCUGGCGUUGGAGGUUCAAUUCCUCCCUGCCCCA
This 72-nucleotide transfer RNA is filed under the name Caudoviricetes sp. RNAcentral describes it as "tRNA-Phe". It matches the Rfam family "tRNA". Rfam says of the family: Transfer RNA (tRNA) molecules are approximately 80 nucleotides in length. Their secondary structure includes four short double-helical elements and three loops (D, anti-codon, and T loops). The record is from RNAcentral. Lineage: Duplodnaviria; Heunggongvirae; Uroviricota; Caudoviricetes.